RNAcentral lists this ribosomal RNA (385 nucleotides) under uncultured bacterium. Its description in RNAcentral is "bacterial SSU rRNA". It matches the Rfam family "Bacterial small subunit ribosomal RNA", at positions 28 to 416 of the family's 1533-position model. The record is from RNAcentral.
GACGAACGCUGGCGGCGUGCUUAACACAUGCAAGUCGAGCGCUGAAGCCUCUUUGGGGGUGGAUGAGCGGCGAACGGGUGAGUAAUACAUCGGAACGUGCCCAGUCGUGGGGGAUAACGUAGCGAAAGCUACGCUAAUACCGCAUACGAUCUGUGGAUGAAAGCGGGGGACCGUAAGGCCUCGCGCGAUUGGAGCGGCCGAUGUCAGAUUAGGUAGUUGGUGGGGUAAAGGCCCACCAAGCCGACGAUCUGUAGCUGGUCUGAGAGGACGACCAGCCACACUGGGACUGAGACACGGCCCAGACUCCUACGGGAGGCAGCAGUGGGGGAAUUUUGGACAAUGGGCGCAAGCCUGAUCCAGCAAUGCCGCGUGCAGGAUGAAGGCC